RNAcentral lists this ribosomal RNA (406 nucleotides) under uncultured bacterium. RNAcentral describes it as "bacterial SSU rRNA". It matches the Rfam family "Bacterial small subunit ribosomal RNA", at positions 30 to 426 of the family's 1533-position model. The record is from RNAcentral.
AUUGAACGCUGGCGGCAGGCCUAACACAUGCAAGUCGAGCGGCAGCGGGAGAAGUUUACUUCUUGCCGGCGAGCGGCGGACGGGUGAGUAAGGCAUGGGAAUCUGCCCAGUUGAGGGGGAUAACUGCUGGAAACGGCAGCUAAUACCGCAUAAUCCCUACGGGGUAAAGAAGGGGACCGGUUUACCGGCCUUUCGCGACUGGAUGAGCCCAUGUAAGAUUAGCUAGUUGGUGAGGUAAAGGCUCACCAAGGCGACGAUCUUUAGCUGGUUUGAGAGGAUGAUCAGCCACACUGGAACUGAGACACGGUCCAGACUCCUACGGGAGGCAGCAGUGGGGAAUAUUGCACAAUGGGCGCAAGCCUGAUGCAGCCAUGCCGCGUGUGUGAAGAAGGCUUUUUCGGGUUGU